RNAcentral lists this ribosomal RNA (260 nucleotides) under uncultured soil bacterium. RNAcentral's name for it is "partial 16S ribosomal RNA". It matches the Rfam family "Bacterial small subunit ribosomal RNA", at positions 26 to 290 of the family's 1533-position model. The record is from RNAcentral.
AGGACGAACGCUGGCGGCGUGCUUAACACAUGCAAGUCGAACGGUAAGGCCCCUUCGGGGGUACACGAGUGGCGAACGGGUGAGUAACACGCGGGUAAUCUGCCCUGCACUUCGGGAUAAGCCUGGGAAACUGGGUCUAAUACCGGAUAUGAACUCCUGCCGCAUGGUGGGGGUUGGAAAGUUUUUCGGUGCAGGAUGAGCCCGCGGCCUAUCAGCUUGUUGGUGGGUAAUGGCCUACCAAGGCAUCGGACGGUACGCCU